This is a non-coding RNA of Citrus sinensis (sweet orange), 97 nucleotides long. Lineage: Eukaryota; Viridiplantae; Streptophyta; Magnoliopsida; Sapindales; Rutaceae. The record is from Rfam.
GGCAAAGAUGAAGAGUGCUUUAUUAUUUCUGACACCUCUUGUAUGAGAAGGGCUCCACGUAUCUCUUCUUUGAGCACAGUUAGCAACUCUCUGAGCC